CAGUAGCCGCGUUAACACGUAGGUGGCAAGCGUUAUCCGGAAUUAUUGGGCGUAAAGCGCGCGUAGGCGGUUUCUUAAGUCUGAUGUGAAAGCCCACGGCUCAACCGUGGAGGGUCAUUGGAAACUGGGAAACUUGAGUGCAGAAGAGGAAAGUGGAAUUCCAUGUGUAGCGGUGAAAUGCGCAGAGAUAUGGAGGAACACCAGUGGCGAAGGCGACUUUCUGGUCUGUAACUGACGCUGAUGUGCGAAAGCGUGGGGAUCAAACAGGAUUAGAUACCCCCGUAGUCCCUGUCUCUUAUAC
This 301-nucleotide ribosomal RNA is filed under the name uncultured bacterium. Its description in RNAcentral is "partial 16S ribosomal RNA". It matches the Rfam family "Bacterial small subunit ribosomal RNA", at positions 509 to 807 of the family's 1533-position model. The record is from RNAcentral.